RNAcentral lists this ribosomal RNA (399 nucleotides) under Pseudomonas sp. MCSD3. RNAcentral describes it as "bacterial SSU rRNA". It matches the Rfam family "Bacterial small subunit ribosomal RNA", at positions 372 to 763 of the family's 1533-position model. The record is from RNAcentral. Lineage: Bacteria; Pseudomonadati; Pseudomonadota; Gammaproteobacteria; Pseudomonadales; Pseudomonadaceae.
UGGGCGAAAGCCUGAUCCAGCCAUGCCGCGUGUGUGAAGAAGGUCUUCGGAUUGUAAAGCACUUUAAGUUGGGAGGAAGGGCAGUAACUUAAUACGUUGCUGCUUUGACGUUACCGACAGAAUAAGCACCGGCUAACUUCGUGCCAGCAGCCGCGGUAAUACGAAGGGUGCAAGCGUUAAUCGGAAUUACUGGGCGUAAAGCGCGCGUAGGUGGUUCAGUAAGUUGGAUGUGAAAUCCCCGGGCUCAACCUGGGAACUGCAUCCAAAACUGCUGAGCUAGAGUACGGUAGAGGGUGGUGGAAUUUCCUGUGUAGCGGUGAAAUGCGUAGAUAUAGGAAGGAACACCAGUGGCGAAGGCGACCACCUGGACUGAUACUGACACUGAGGUGCGAAAGCGUG